Molecule: long non-coding RNA, 210 nt
Filed under: Dromaius novaehollandiae (emu)
Lineage: Eukaryota; Metazoa; Chordata; Aves; Casuariiformes; Dromaiidae
Description: lncRNA (ENSDNVG00000002797.1)
Source: RNAcentral
CUCAGAAGGUUUGCACAUAUCUCAGAAGACUUGAGUGUUAACAGAGGAUCAGAUAGGAGCGCUGUCAGGCUCAGGACCCUGCUAAGAUUGCUGCUGGAGUUCUGAUUUCACUGUUUAUUUCCUGUGGGAGGAGGGCUKCACAAAACGCUGCGAGUCAAGGUCCUCUCUGACUACAGCUGACAUCAGAAGAAUUCAGCAUCUUCAGUCUAA